RNA transcript from Manihot esculenta (cassava), 1611 nucleotides. It is a transcript of the gene named RPM1-interacting protein 4, with no coding region annotated. Lineage: Eukaryota; Viridiplantae; Streptophyta; Magnoliopsida; Malpighiales; Euphorbiaceae. The transcript is spliced from 6 exons. The record is from RefSeq and is a predicted model, not a curated record.
AUAUCCUUUUUCUUUUUCAAUUUUUUCUUCUUUAAAUUAUUUCUAAAUUUUCUUGUUAAACUCUUUCUCGGCGUUGCGAAGGAACUUUCCAAAUAUAUUUUUGUUUGCCGGAUUCUUGGAGUUAAAAGAAGAAGCACCUAUCAGUAUCACUCCUCCAUCUUCUUGCUAGCAAGUUGUCUUUUUAUCUUCUGGGUCUGCAUUUUUCCAAUACAAUCUCAUAAUCUAGUUUGAAGACCAAUGGAAUCAUGGAUGGAGGGAUCAAAGGCGGAUGGGUAGAGUAAAAAGAUUAAACAGAAAGAAAACUGUGUAAGACUGACAUAUUCAGUCAAGGGGAUAUGGUAAUUCCUUUGGAUGGAGGGGAUCAGUUCCAAAAGUUUAAGCAAAGCUCUACUGUGCCCAAGUUUGACAACUGGGAAAGUGAAGAGAAUGUGCCCUACACGGCCUAUUUUGAGAAGGCGAGGAAGGGAAGAACUGAAGGCAAAGUGAAUGGAAGUUACUCUGAAAUAAACUCUCAAAUUUUAAAUACCAAGCCUCAAAUUCAUGCCUCCUCUUUCCAAAUGAAACCAACAGAUGUGCUAAGAGCGCAAGAAGCCGUGAGGUCAAAGCAUGAACAUUUAAGCCAAGAAGAGUUUGAUUUAAGGAGAUCAAAUGAUGAUGUUGACAAGAUCGAUGGCGCAAAGGUACUAAGGGCAAAUCAUGAACAUGGGGAAGAUGGUGAACAGAGGAGACCAGCAAAUUCUCCACUGCGCCAUGAUAAUGCUCAGAGGGUGGCAACUGACUCAAAUCUUCACCAUUAUGGUGGUGUGAGCUCUAGCGACACCCAUAAAAGGUUUAUGCGGAGGAGUGCAGCCUCUGAUCUCAGCACUGAACAGCCACAACUACACCCACAUAACCAGGCAAAAAUUGGUAGCAAAGGUAAUGUAGUAUCUUCGCCGACGUGGGAAAGAAAGGGUUCAUCAGAAGGUACUCAUGGUCUAGCUCCCAUGACCCCUGGAAGAUCCCGAUUGAAAUCAGUCACCCGAGGCAAUGAUUGUCCUGAUGACAGUGCUGCUGUUCCAAAAUUUGGGGAAUGGGAUGAGAUGAACCCCGCAUCAGCUGAUGGGUACACUCACAUUUUCAACAAAGUACGAGAAGAAAGACAGGGUGGAGUGGCAAAGGUGCCUGUCCUACCGACUGAAACUUCUCAUUCCAAUGGGCACAAGCAGUAUGGCAAUGAAAAUUCCAAGCAGAGCUGUUGCUGCUUUUCCUGGGGAAGAAGGUGAUGCUUUUUGUCCAUUUGAUCAAAUAGAGUGCACAAGACACGUCAUAUAUGUAUUUAUGCAGCAAUUUCGCCAGAAAGUGAUUUUGGAACUGUCCAGAAGCCGAAACAGGAGGCUGAAGAAAUUUGCGUGAGCUGCUGUGGACUUCUGACAUAUUUUACCACCUAACUGUUGUAUGACUACCUGUCAUUUGAGGACAGUUCAAAACUGUCGAUGUAAGGGGAAAAAAAUCUUACAAGAUUCACCGAUGUUUACCUCCUUGAGAGACAUUGGAUAGAUUUCUAUUUAUUUGAACUUCUUAUCAUCUGAAUUCAAGAAAUAGAAGGAGCACUGACAUGACAGACUUGAACCA